This 468-nucleotide ribosomal RNA is filed under the name uncultured bacterium. Its description in RNAcentral is "partial 16S ribosomal RNA". It matches the Rfam family "Bacterial small subunit ribosomal RNA", at positions 28 to 507 of the family's 1533-position model. The record is from RNAcentral.
GACGAACGCUGGCGGCGUGCUUAACACAUGCAAGUCGAACGGAAAGGCCCUGCUCUUGUGGGGUGCUCGAGUGGCGAACGGGUGAGUAACACGCGAGUAACCCGUCCUUGACUUUGGGAUAACUCUAGGAAACAGGGGCUAAUACCGGAUAGGAGCUCCUGCUGCACGGGGGGGGUUGGAAAGUUUCGGCGGUAGGGGAUGGACUCGCGGCUUAUCAGCUUGUUGGGGGGGUAGUGGCUUACCAAGGUUUUGACGGGUAGCCGGCCUGGGAGGGUGACCGGCCACAUUGGUCCUGCGGUACGGCCCAGACUCCUACGGGAGGCAGCAGUGGGGAAUAUUGCACAAUGGGCGGGAGCCUGUUGCAGCAACGCUGCGUGCGGGAUAACGGCCUUCGGGUUGUAAACCGCUUUCGCCUGUGACGAAGCGGGAGUGACGGUAAUGGGUAAAGAAGCACCGGCUAACUACGUG